Molecule: ribosomal RNA, 1602 nt
Filed under: Gambierdiscus scabrosus
Lineage: Eukaryota; Dinophyceae; Gonyaulacales; Pyrocystaceae
Description: SSU rRNA
Rfam family: Eukaryotic small subunit ribosomal RNA
Source: RNAcentral
CAGUCAUAUGCUUGUCUCAAAGAUUAAGCCAUGCAUGUCUCAGCUUAAGUUUUCUUACCAUGGUGCUGUGCAUGGCUCAUUAUAACAGCUGUAAUUCAGUGGAUGGUUGCUGCACAUGGAUAUCUGUGGCAAUUCUGUGGCUAAUACAUGCUCAACAACGGGUUGUGGUCAUUUUCCUCAGAAUCAAUGCAUGCGAUGCCUGCUUGGUUGUCCAAGAAGAAUGACAGAAUGGAUUGCGUUGUUUUCACUGGUGCUGUGCCUUGAAAGUUUCUCACCUAUCAGCUGUCGACGGCAGGGUAGUGGCCUGCUGUGGCUGUGACAGGUGACGGAGGAUGAGGGUUUGACUCCGGAGAGGGAGCCUGAGAGAUGGCUACCACAUCUAAGGAAGGCAGCAGGCGCGCAAAUUGCCCAAUCCCAACAGAGGGGGGUAGUGACAAGAAAUAGCAAUACAAGGCAUCCAUGUUUUGUACUUGGAAUGAAUGGCCAGCAAACUUUGUUGUUAGGAUCAAUUGGAGGGCAAGUCUGGUGCCAGCAGCCGCGGUAAUUCCAGCUCCAAUGGCGUUUCUUUUUUUAGGAGUUGUUGCGGUUAAAAGGCUCGUAGUUGGAUCUCUGCUGGGGAUGUCUGGUCCGCCCUUUGGGUGAGCAUCUGGUGCAAUCCAAGCCCUUUUUUCCCAGAGGGGGGUCUGCACUUGACUGUGUGGUGCACUUCUGGGAGCAUUUACUUUGAGGAAGUAAGGGUGUUCAAAGCAGGUGUUUUGCCUUGGAUGCAGAAGCAUGGAAUAUUGUUCUGAGUCUUGGCCUCAUUUUGUUGGUUUCUGAAGCGAAGGUAGUGUUCAAAGGGGAUGGUUGGGGGCAUUCUCGACUGUCAGAGGUGAAAUUCUUGAAUUUGUCAAGGAUGGACCAGUGCGAAGGCUUUUGCCAAGGAUGUCUUCAUUGAUCAAGAACGAAAGUUUGGGGAUCGAAGACGAUUAGAUACCGUCAUAGUCUUAACCAUAAACAAUGCCAACUAGAGAUUGGGGGUCGUUACCUGUAGGAUUCUGUCCGCACCCUGCAAGACAUUUAAGUCUUUGGGUUCUGGGGGGAGUAUGGUCGCAAGGCUGAAACUUAAAGGAAUUGACGGAAGGGCACCACCAGGAGUGGAGCCUGCGGCUUAAUUGGUUAAUUCCGUUAACGAACGAGACCUUGACCUGCUAAAUAGUAACACGUAAUUGCGAGUAUGUGGACAACUUCUUCGAGGGACUUUGUGUGUCUAGCACAAGGAAGUGUGAGGCAAUAACAGGUCUGUGAUGCCCUUUGAUGUUCUGGGCUGCACGAGUGCUACACUGAUGCACCCACUGAGCACCUCAUCUUGCCUGAAGUGGCUGGGCAAUCUUUGGAAUGUGCACCGUGAUGGGGAUGGAUCAUUGCAAUUACUGCUUCUCAACGAGGAAUUCCUAGUAAAUGUGGGUCAUCAAACUUGCACUGAUUACGUCCCUGCCCUUUGUACACACCGCCCGUCGCUCCUACCGAUUGAGUGGUCCGGUGAACAGUUUGGCCCCGUUGUGGCAUUCAGUUCCUGAGAAGAUCUUCAAAAAAUUCAGUGAACCUUAUCACUUGGAGGAA